GCUGGUGUGGCUCAAUGGCAGAGCAGCGGUAUCGUAAACCGCAGGUUGUGGGUUCGAUUCCCACCACCAGCUCCA
RNAcentral lists this transfer RNA (75 nucleotides) under Clostridiales bacterium GWF2_36_10. RNAcentral describes it as "tRNA-Thr". It matches the Rfam family "tRNA". From Rfam's summary of the family: Transfer RNA (tRNA) molecules are approximately 80 nucleotides in length. Lineage: Bacteria; Bacillati; Bacillota; Clostridia; Eubacteriales. The record is from RNAcentral. RNAcentral also lists the same sequence under 1 other name.